This 253-nucleotide ribosomal RNA is filed under the name uncultured bacterium. RNAcentral's name for it is "partial 16S ribosomal RNA". It matches the Rfam family "Bacterial small subunit ribosomal RNA", at positions 524 to 776 of the family's 1533-position model. The record is from RNAcentral.
UACGUAGGGUGCAAGCGUUGUUCGGAAUCAUUGGGCGUAAAGCGAGUGUAGGCUGUUAGUUAAGUCUGAUGUGAAAUCCCUCAGCUCAACUGAGGAAGUGCAUUAGAAACUGGCUAGCUAGAAGAUGGUAGAGGAAGGUGGAAUUCCAAGUGUAGAGGUGAAAUUCGUAGAUAUUUGGAGGAAUACCGGUGGCGAAGGCGGCCUUCUGGGCCAUUCUUGACGCUGAGACUCGAAAGCGUGGGUAGCAAACAGG